CAGGUUGUCAGACUUGAACAUGGGCACAGGU
This 31-nucleotide non-coding RNA is filed under the name Rattus norvegicus (Norway rat). Lineage: Eukaryota; Metazoa; Chordata; Mammalia; Rodentia; Muridae. The record is from RNAcentral.